Molecule: ribosomal RNA, 440 nt
Filed under: uncultured Chloroflexota bacterium
Lineage: Bacteria; Bacillati; Chloroflexota
Description: bacterial SSU rRNA
Rfam family: Bacterial small subunit ribosomal RNA
Source: RNAcentral
CCUACGGGGGGCAGCAGUGGGGAAUUUUGCUCAAUGGGGGAAACCCUGAAGCAGCAACGCCGCGUGAGGGAUGAAGGCCUUCGGGUUGUAAACCUCUUUUGUCAGGGACGAUGAUGACGGUACCUGGCGAAUAAGCCACGGCUAACUACGUGCCAGCAGCCGCGGUAAUACGUAGGUGGCAAGCGUUGUCCGGAUUUACUGGGCGUAAAGAGCGCGCAGGCGGUCUUGUAAGUCGAGUGUGAAAGCCCCUGGCUCAACCAGGGAGGGUCAUUCGAUACUGCUUGACUCGAAGGCAGGAGAGGGAAGUGGAAUUCCGGGUGUAGUGGUGAAAUGCGUAGAUAUCCGGAGGAACACCAGUGGCGAAGGCGACUUUCUGGCCUGUUCUUGACGCUGAGGCGCGAAAGCUAGGGGAGCAAACGGGAUUAGAUACCCCAGUAGUC